UAGCAAUGAGGAUGAAUUUAAAAUCAGUGAUGAACCCUGAUGACUGUAUACGCUAUUCUGAGCUCUCA
Small nucleolar RNA from Synchiropus splendidus (mandarinfish), 68 nucleotides. RefSeq annotates it as small nucleolar RNA U54. The record is from RefSeq and is a predicted model, not a curated record. The transcript has a single exon. NCBI's taxonomy places the organism in Eukaryota, Metazoa, Chordata, Actinopteri, Syngnathiformes, Callionymidae.